GUCUCUGGGCUCAAAGCACCUUGGGAUGUAUUUGAGCACACUGCAUGUUCAUGGAGGGUGCCACAGUGGCACCCUCAUUUGUAUAGCCAGUGGUUGGAUACAAACUUUUGCUUUCAUCUACUCCAGCCUCUAUCCCAGGUUGUCCCCAUAGCUGGGAAGCAGAGCAGAGUGUGUCCCACCCUCAGCCCCUUCCAGUUCAUCAUCUGCUGUCAUGGUACAAACCCAUCCUUACUGAUGGGUGAAACCUAUACAAGAACGUAUGGACUGGAGGAAGAGCACUGUGGAUCCAUA
This is a long non-coding RNA of Strigops habroptila (Kakapo), 291 nucleotides long. RefSeq lists it as uncharacterized. The transcript has 3 exons. NCBI's taxonomy places the organism in Eukaryota, Metazoa, Chordata, Aves, Psittaciformes, Psittacidae. The record is from RefSeq and is a predicted model, not a curated record.